Molecule: unclassified non-coding RNA, 360 nt
Filed under: soil metagenome
Description: partial contains 5.8S ribosomal RNA, internal transcribed spacer 2, and large subunit ribosomal RNA
Rfam family: 5.8S ribosomal RNA (bases 1-120)
Source: RNAcentral
GAUGAAGAACGUAGCGAAAUGCGAUAAGUAAUGCGAAUUGCAGAAUUCAGUGAAUCAUCGAAUCUUUGAACGCACAUUGCGCCCGCCAGUAUUCUGGCGGGCAUGCCUGUCUGAGCGUCGUUUCGACCCUCGCGCCCGGCUUCUGUCGGGGGCGGUGUUGGGGAUCGGCCACACCCUUCAGUGGGAGGCCGGCCCCUAAAUUCAGUGGCGACCACGCUGUAGCCUCCCUUGCGUAGUACUAAAACCACCUCGCAGGCGGAGAGCGGUGCGGCCCGCCGUAAAACCCCCCAACUUUUACAAGGUCGACCUCAGAUCAGGUAGGAAUACCCGCUGAACUUAAGCAUAUCAAUAAGCGGAGGA